RNAcentral lists this ribosomal RNA (254 nucleotides) under uncultured bacterium. RNAcentral's name for it is "partial 16S ribosomal RNA". It matches the Rfam family "Bacterial small subunit ribosomal RNA", at positions 524 to 776 of the family's 1533-position model. The record is from RNAcentral.
UACGUAGGGUGCGAGCGUUGUCCGGAUUUAUUGGGCGUAAAGAGCUCGUAGGCGGUUUGGUGAGUCGGGUGUGAAAUCUCCACGCUCAACGUGGAGGGGCCACCCGAUACUGCCAUGACUAGAGUCCGGUAGGGGAGUGUGGAAUUCCCGGUGUAGCGGUGAAAUGCGUAGAUAUCACUUGGAACGCCAACGGUGAAAACAGCUCGCUGGGGGUAUCCUGACGCUGAGACACGAAAGCCAGGGGAGCAAACGGG